This 511-nucleotide ribosomal RNA is filed under the name uncultured bacterium. Its description in RNAcentral is "partial 16S ribosomal RNA". It matches the Rfam family "Bacterial small subunit ribosomal RNA", at positions 30 to 523 of the family's 1533-position model. The record is from RNAcentral.
AUUGAACGCUGGCGGCAUGCCUAACACAUGCAAGUCGAACGGCAGCACAAUAAAGAUUUCGGUCUUUAUGGGUGGCGAGUGGCGGACGGGUGAGUAACGCGUAGGAAUCUGUCCUGGAGAGUGGGAUAACCCGAGGAAACUCGGGCUAAUACUGCAUGACAUUGAGAGAUCAAAAGCAGGGGACCGAAAGGCCUUGCGCUCUGGGGUGAGCCUACGUCGGAUUAGCUAGUUGGUGGGGUAAAGGCCUACCAAGGCGACGAUCCGUAGCUGGUCUGGGAGGAUGACCAGCCACACUGGGACUGAGACACGGCCCAGACUCCUACGGGGGGCAGCGGUGGGGAAUCUUGGACAAUGGGGGAAACCCUGAUCCAGCGAUGCCGCGUGUGUGAAGAAGGCCUUCGGGUUGUAAAGCACUUUAGGUGGGGAAGAAAGGUAGCGAGUGAAUAACUUUCUGCUGUGACGGUACCCACAGAAUAAGCACCGGCUAACUCUGUGCCAGCAGCCGCCGUAA